RNAcentral lists this ribosomal RNA (403 nucleotides) under uncultured bacterium. RNAcentral describes it as "bacterial SSU rRNA". It matches the Rfam family "Bacterial small subunit ribosomal RNA", at positions 355 to 776 of the family's 1533-position model. The record is from RNAcentral.
UGGGGAAUUUUGCGCAAUGGGGGAAACCCUGACGCAGCAACGCCGCGUGCGGGAUGACGGCCUUCGGGUUGUAAACCGCUUUCAGUGGGAAAGAUAAUGACGGUACCCACACAAGAAGCUCCGGCUAAAUACGUGCCAGCAGCCGCGGUAAUACGUAUGGAGCAAGCGUUAUCCGGAUUUAUUGGGCGUAAAGCGCGCGUAGGCGGCUUGUUAAGCAAGGUCUUAAAUCUUGGGGCUCAACCUCAAGCCGGAUCUUGAACUGGCAGGCUCGAGUAUGGUAGAGGAAAGUGGAAUUCCCAGUGUAGCGGUGAAAUGCGCAGAUAUUGGGAAGAACACCGAUGGCGAAGGCAGCUUUCUGGGCCAUUACUGACGCUGAGGUGCGAAAGCUAGGGGAGCAAACAGG